This 783-nucleotide long non-coding RNA is filed under the name Varroa destructor (honeybee mite). RNAcentral describes it as "uncharacterized LOC111251467, transcript variant X2". Lineage: Eukaryota; Metazoa; Arthropoda; Arachnida; Mesostigmata; Varroidae. The record is from RNAcentral.
GUUACAAAGCACAAUAGACAUGCUUGUGCCUAUCUUAAAACUACAAUAUUACAGUGGUAGUCAACACGCGUUUAAAAAGGCUAAUGGUAAUUCGGCGGUUACCGUUUGAGCAGGGCGAUUUCGCCGAAAGCCUUCCGCGAUUAUGCCCCCUUCGGCAGUACUUUUCCAUUCAGUCGAAUAGGACCAUUCAAACGAUAGCGGAUAGGAUGAACGAAUUCCCUUAGUCGGACAUACGUGCCUAUGCAACUUGACGAUCUACGUGCGUCGAAGCAUAGCAAUUAUGUUUCGUGUAUACUUUGUUAUUAGCGUUUGUUUAUUUCCGCUCCUACAUUAACUGUUUCGGUUGGAUAAUAGGACUAUUUUGGCAUGACGCGCAAUCUGGACUACAGUUCGAACGUAUGAGCCUCGGAUUACUUCGUCAGCAGAUCGACUAACUUACUUUAGCGGACUGAUCGACGGACGAUGUACAUCCUGAAUAACUUCGAGAUCUAACUACUUUCCUGGGUUCUGCGGCACUUUUAUUAAUAGUCGUGAAUUUGAACUUUCUCAAAGAAAACCUCCAAAACGUUUUACAUUUUCCUAUUUAAGGACACUCAUUCAGUUGUCGCGACUGCAACGUCACUGUAUAGGUCGCCCGAUUGUACACGUGACUAUGCUGGACGGAGCAGGAACAAAACACUUCAGUCACCCGACGCUCUACCCGUCACCCGACCGUACCUACUCAAUAACUGUAUAGAAACUGUCUAGAAAGAUUGUAUUCCUACUUCCGAUUGGCAGACAAGA